ACAAUGACAAUACGCGGGUAUUGUUUAACCUUUAUAUAUUUAAUAAUAAAUUUUAAAUAGGUAUUUUAAUAAAAUAAUCUUUAUUUUUUUUAAUUAUUUACUAUUUCAAAGAUAAUUUAGAAAGAUAACGCUUGUUAUUAUUUCAAUUUAUCUACUAAAAAGAAACACUCUCAUUGCUAUUCUUAGUAGGAACAUUCUAAAGAGCCGAGGAGUACAUAAUUAUCUUAUCACAGACAUUAAUUCAUUCAUUCAUUAUUCUGUUCAUUCAUUCAUAUUAACUAUAGCAAAUAUUUAUAAUGGCAAAACAUCAUAAAUGACGCUUCAAAGCGUUCAAUU
Molecule: unclassified non-coding RNA, 336 nt
Filed under: Melitaea cinxia (Glanville fritillary)
Lineage: Eukaryota; Metazoa; Arthropoda; Insecta; Lepidoptera; Nymphalidae
Description: misc RNA ENSMCXG00005018900.1
Source: RNAcentral